UUUACAUCCGGGAAGCGUCGGGUUUAGGUACAAGUGCGCAAGUUGUGUUUUGUGAGCUAAAAUGGUAAUUGAGUCGAAAUUGACUGUACUGACUAAAAUGCAGAAGAUUCAGGAUUCUUGUUGCAUUCGUAGCCCGGGAUCAGCUUUAAAAACCUUUAGGUUUCCAAGCAUGCGGGGACUUAGGUGUAAGUUACGUCGCGGGAGGGCCACGUGCAGCCCUGGAUCCUGACUCCUGUGCGCGUGGGCCACGGUCCCUUGCAUGAGGUUCCGUGCACUGGUGAAGGUCAGUCUCGCCAUCGGUGUCAUAAGGUCACCUUGAGUCCACUCUGACCAUUGCGUCACAGCACCCUGAGACCCUCCAGAGUUUCAUCCGGAUGGAAGCUGAAGUCGUUCCGAUGGGUGAUGGAAACAGGACAAGGUAUCAAAUCCAAAGUGAUGGAUGAAGUCUUAAUUGGCAUUCUGCAGUAGAUUAUUAAACUUAAAUCUUGGUUGAGGGAACGAGUGUUUGGAAUAAUGUUCUAGAAAGUAGCAGGGCACCUAUUUUCAGUGCAUAACUGAAUUUUUAAAUUGUUAUUUAAGGUGAUUCCUUGAUAAAUAAAAUGCUGAUUCCAUG
Molecule: long non-coding RNA, 613 nt
Organism: Carlito syrichta (Philippine tarsier)
Lineage: Eukaryota; Metazoa; Chordata; Mammalia; Primates; Tarsiidae
Exons: 3
Source: RefSeq, a predicted model, not a curated record